UUGAACGCUGGCGGCAGGCCUCACACAUGCAAGUCGAGCGGAUGAAGGGAGCUUGCUCCUGGAUUCAGCGGCGGACGGGUGAGUAAUGCCUAGGAAUCUGCCUGGUAGUGGGGGAUAACGUCCGGAAACGGGCGCUAAUACCGCAUACGUCCUGAGGGAAAAAGUGGGGGAUCUUCGGACCUCACGCUAUCAGAUGAGCCUAGGUCGGAUUAGCUAGUUGGUGGGGUAAAGGCCUACCAAGGCGACGAUCCGUAACUGGUCUGAGAGGAUGAUCAGUCACACUGGAACUGAGACACGGUCCAGACUCCUACGGGAGGCAGCAGUGGGGAAUAUUGGACAAUGGGCGAAAGCCUGAUCCAGCCAUGCCGCGUGUGUGAAGAAGGUCUUCGGAUUGUAAAGCACUUUAAGUUGGGAGGAAGGGCAGUAAGUUAAUACCUUGCUGUUUUGACGUUACCAACAGAAUAAGCACCGGCUAACUUCGUG
Molecule: ribosomal RNA, 483 nt
Filed under: uncultured bacterium
Lineage: Bacteria
Description: partial 16S ribosomal RNA
Rfam family: Bacterial small subunit ribosomal RNA
Source: RNAcentral